This 765-nucleotide unclassified non-coding RNA is filed under the name uncultured Bacillota bacterium. RNAcentral describes it as "uncultured Firmicutes bacterium 16S-23S ribosomal RNA intergenic spacer". The stretch from base 275 to 348 matches the Rfam family "tRNA". Lineage: Bacteria; Bacillati; Bacillota. The record is from RNAcentral.
CUNAGNAGCCUGAAAUGUUUAGCCAAACCAAUGUAUAAUGUAUUGGUGGUGAAAAAGUAUAAAGAUUCCAAAUCAUUAUACCAAUUAUACAUCCAAUACAUUAUACAAUAUAAAAGCACUUUUAGGAAAGAAGACGAAGAUUAUUUUGGAAAGAAUCCAAAGAUUUUAAUUACUCUCGCUGUUAGUUCAACUAAUUUAAGAUUUAAGAUUUUAGAUUUCAGAUUUCCCAUUAGGGAUUAAUCUAAAAUCUAAAAUCAGNAAUCUACAAUACUGAUGUCUCGUAGCUCAGCCGGUUAGAGUACUACACUGAUAAUGUAGGGGUCGACAGUUCGAGUCUGUCCGAGACAACCAAUUAAUUAAAAAUUAAAAAUUGAGAAUUAAAAAUCAAGAAUUAAGAUUUAAUUAUAAACACGUUCAUAUACAAAUAGGAAAUUUUAGAAGUUGAGAGAUUAAGAAUCAAGAAGUUCAUAAUUUUUAAUUCGUAAUUUUUAAUUUUUAAUUAAAAAGGGGGAUUAGCUCAGCUGGCUAGAGCGCCUGCCUUGCACGCAGGAGGUCAACGGUUCGACUCCGUUAUUCUCCACAAGAAGUACAAAGAUAUAAGUACAAAGUAUCAAGACGCGAGUCUUAAUACUUAAUACUCAAAAUCUUAAUACUUAUUAAAGUUCAUUGACAUAUUGAGAUAAGAAAUAAUAAAAAGUAGAAAGCAGAUUUGCUAUUUAUUUAGUAAAUCGAAAAAAACGGUCUUAAUUAAAUUUAAGAUUGGUA